AUUGAACGCUGGCAGCAGGCUUAACACAUGCAAGUCGAGCGGGGUGAUGGUGCUUGCACUAUCACUUAGCGGCGGACGGGUGAGUAAUGCUUAGGAAUCUGCCUAUUAGUGGGGGACAACAUCUCGAAAGGGAUGCUAAUACCGCAUACGGCCUACGGGAGAAAGCAGGGGAUCUUCGGACCUUGCGCUAAUAGAUGAGCCUAAGUCGGAUUAGCUAGUUGGUGGGGUAAAGGCCUACCAAGGCGACGAUCUGUAGCGGGUCUGAGAGGAUGAUCCGCCACACUGGGACUGAGACACGGGCCAGACUCCUACGGGAGGCAGCAGUGGGGAAUAUUGGACAAUGGGGGGAACCCUGAUCUAGCCAUGCCGCGUGUGUGAAGAAGGCCUUAUGGUUGUAAAGCACUUUAAGCGAGGAGGAGGCUACUUUAGUUAAUACCUAGAGAUAGUGGACGUUACUCGCAGAAUAAGCACCGGCUAACUCUGUGCCAGCCGCCGCAGUAA
Molecule: ribosomal RNA, 501 nt
Filed under: uncultured bacterium
Lineage: Bacteria
Description: partial 16S ribosomal RNA
Rfam family: Bacterial small subunit ribosomal RNA
Source: RNAcentral